CUUGAACGCUGGCGGCAGGCCUAACACAUGCACGUCGAACGCGUGGCGGACGGGUGCGUAAUGUCUGGGAAACUGCCUGAUGGAGGGGGAUAACUACUGGACACGGUAGCUAAUACCGCAUACCAUCAGAUGUGCCCAGAUGGGAUUAGCUAGUUGGGUGGGUAACGGCUCACCAAGGCGACGAUCCCUAGCUGGUCUGAGAGGAUGACCAGCCACACUGGAUCUGAGACACGGUCCAGACUCCGACGGGAGGCAGCAGUGGGGAAUAUUGCACAAUGGGCGCGAGCCUGAUGCAGCCAUGCCGCGUGUAUGAAGAAGGCCGUCGGGUUGUAAAGCACUUUAAGUUGUGAGGCGUUACCAACAGAAUAAGCACCGGCUAACUUCGUGCCAGCAGCCGCGGUAAUUC
RNAcentral lists this ribosomal RNA (406 nucleotides) under uncultured bacterium. RNAcentral describes it as "partial 16S ribosomal RNA". It matches the Rfam family "Bacterial small subunit ribosomal RNA", at positions 30 to 526 of the family's 1533-position model. The record is from RNAcentral.